RNAcentral lists this long non-coding RNA (346 nucleotides) under Elaeis guineensis (African oil palm). RNAcentral's name for it is "long non-coding RNA (EGUI_LNC026810)". Lineage: Eukaryota; Viridiplantae; Streptophyta; Magnoliopsida; Arecales; Arecaceae. The record is from RNAcentral.
CAAGCAGUCUAUUCCGAACUUCUACUGCAAGUGGUCUACUCCGAACUUCUACUGUAAGCAGUUUACUCUGGAUCUCUACUGUAAGCGAAUUUCAUCCGAGUUUCUACUGUAAACGAAUUCCUUCCGAACUUCUAUUACAGGUGGACUUUAGCCGAGCUUCUUCAAUAAGCGGUCCCUAUCUGAACUUCUACAAGAAUCAGACUCUGUCUGAAUUUUCAUAGCGGAUGGAUUCUGGACAAAUUUCUACAACGGAUGGGCUUCAGCAGUUAGAUUUCUACAACGGCCGACCGCCUCCAGUGUCUGUCGUACCUCCCCAGCCAUCAACCUUCAAUAGCGUCAGUCGGAC